GACGAACGCUGGCGGCGUGCUUAACACAUGCAAGUCGAACGGUAAGGCCCUUCGGGGUACACGAGUGGCGAACGGGUGAGUAACACGUGGGUGAUCUGCCCUGCACUUCGGGAUAAGCCUGGGAAAAUGGGUCUAAUACCGGAUAGGACCACUGCCUGUAUGGGGUGGGGUGGAAAGCUUUUGCGGUGUGGGAUGUGCCCGCGGCCUAUCAGCUUGUUGGUGGGGUGAUGGCCUACCAAGGCGACGACGGGUAGCCGGCCUGAGAGGGUGACCGGCCACACUGGGACUGAGAUACGGCCCAGACUCCUACGGGAGGCAGCAGUGGGGAAUAUUGCACAAUGGGCGCAAGCCUGAUGCAGCGACGCCGCGUGAGGGAUGACGGCCUUCGGGUUGUAAACCUCUUUCAGCACCGACGAAGCGCAAGUGACGGUAGGUGCAGAAGAAGGACCGGCCAACUACGUGCCAGCCGCCGCCGUAA
Molecule: ribosomal RNA, 478 nt
Filed under: uncultured bacterium
Lineage: Bacteria
Description: partial 16S ribosomal RNA
Rfam family: Bacterial small subunit ribosomal RNA
Source: RNAcentral